GACGACUGAAUCUCCCCGUUGAUAGCAAGCAAACAAAAGCCCGGGAGGGGGGCGCCGCGACGUGGACGUGUAAAGUUAAACCCCCGGCUCGAUAAACCGUUCGGCGGAGGGAGGGAGGGCUGCCGCUGCCGCUGCCGAUGACGGGUGGCGAGGCUCCAGCAGCCGCCACCCCCCACCACACCACUGGGCGCAGAGCUGCCCGUCGUCUUCCUCCGGAGCUGGGCGAUCGGGCCACUCACGGCUCUCCGCUGCUCCACUGCCGGUCUCGUCCUCCGGCCUCGCCUGUACCCUAGCUAGCUAAG
This 302-nucleotide long non-coding RNA is filed under the name Hordeum vulgare. Its description in RNAcentral is "long non-coding RNA (HVUL_LNC007926)". The record is from RNAcentral. Lineage: Eukaryota; Viridiplantae; Streptophyta; Magnoliopsida; Poales; Poaceae.